RNAcentral lists this long non-coding RNA (729 nucleotides) under Sarcophilus harrisii (Tasmanian devil). RNAcentral describes it as "lncRNA (ENSSHAG00000023269.1)". Lineage: Eukaryota; Metazoa; Chordata; Mammalia; Dasyuromorphia; Dasyuridae. The record is from RNAcentral.
AGUUCCCCCUCAGUCUAUGUAGAGCUGACCAGGGAAGAACACUUUGGAGGGCUGUUGGAACAAGGGAAGUAACCUCAAAUGCUCCAGGGGACUGCUUUGAACGGAUUCUUAACCUAAGGCCUGGGGAGUGACAAAAGUAGGAAAAGAGAGGAAGACACUAUCUGAAGGACCUUGGAGGACCUCAGGCCCAAGCAAACACACUAAGUUGCCUGCUCUAAGCCUUUACCUGGAAUGGGUUCCUCCUCAAUUCUCUUCUACCUCCAUUAAGUUCUAGUUGAAAAAAAAGAAGGGGAAAGAGAAGCUCUCUGCUGGAUCAAAGGCAAGGGAACAGUCCUUGAGGAAGCUUAGCCAGAGAAAGAAGACUGGUGACUUGAUCAGACUCCGCUCACCUAGGCUCCCCAACCCAGGGGUAGGGCUAACACAGGUGACCAAAUGGUGGUUUUGAAAUGGAUAUUUCUUGCCUUUCUUGUGAGUUUGAUCUUAGAAGUUUGAGGGUCUAGUGUUCCUGGGUCCCCAGUUGGUGCUAUUUGUGCUGCUGAAGAUUCCCGCUUCAGCUACCAUAGUUUUUGGGAGGAAGAGACAGCCACUGACAGCAAAUAAGCACGACCUCCGGCCUGGCUUGCCAGAGGACUUUACACUUAGAAGGUGAUUCUGACGGUGUGAGCAAUCCUGUAAAAUGUUUCAAAUUUUGAAGUUUUAGGUAUCAACCUCUUGGAAAAAGAUAAUGGG